Molecule: long non-coding RNA, 4961 nt
Organism: Manis javanica (Malayan pangolin)
Lineage: Eukaryota; Metazoa; Chordata; Mammalia; Pholidota; Manidae
Source: RefSeq, a predicted model, not a curated record
UCGGCGCUCACCUUGAAUGAUCCCUGGAACUCGUCGCUCAUCCUCCGGAGCUCGCGGCCAUAGCGCUGCGCAGCGUAGAGGUUGGGGGGCGCCGAGCGCGAGCGGCCCCGGAAGGGACUGGGUUCCUCCUCCUCCUCUUCAUUCUCCUCGGUCCCUGCGGGGUACGAGCUGUGGCGACUCCGCGUCUCCACAGCCCCAGCGCCUGCGGAGAGGGUCAGGAGCAGAGUACCAAUCCCUGGAUGAGGAGGUGUCCUGCCCAGACUGAACUCCACCUCUGCAAGCAACCUGUUGGGGCCCCUUUGUUUCCCUGUGGUCUAUAGGGAGCCUUGGGCCUCUGGAGAACAAGAAUAUGUCAGCAGAAUGUCUGUACCUCCUGCAGCAUCUCACUUCGGAGAAAAUGAAACAACCUGUUGACUUCUUUAAGUCAACGGGGAACACUUCCUAUGUGCCAGGCCUUGGGCAUCACCUCAUUGCCCUCCUAACCAUCCUGAAAAAUGAGGAAAUGGAGGCACCAAGGGGUUAGGAACUUAUCAAAACUCACACGGCUGACACACUCUGCUUGGCCACGUAAGUGCUCAGGAAACGUUAGCUAGUAUUUUCCUUUUCUAGCUCUAAGAACCCCACACAACCCCUGCACUUAACAGAUGCGGGGUCCAAGAGCUGGAAGGUGAGUGACUUGCGCAGGGGCACUUGGUCUGUGUACUGCCUCCUGCCCAAGAAUCAGAACAAGCAGAAGGGCACUCCUGUGUCAGGCUGGAAGGGCUUCAUGUGUAUGAUUCAUUACACCCUCAUCAUACACUAUGAGGGAGCUUCCUCACUGUCCCAUUUUACACGAGAAAACUAAGGCACCGGUAGGGUAAGUAACAUGCCCAAAGUCACACAGCUAGUCGGUGGCAGAGCUGAGAUCCAAACCCAACCGAUCUGGCUCCCCGUCUGUGUACUUCACUCUCAUGCCCCAGGCUCCCUCCAGCAGCACCAUGGGCCGCCUUCGGGGCCCAGGUUGGAGUAGGCAUCCCUGGGCCUCCUGUGAAUGCCUGCCUUACCAGGGGCCUAUCCUAUGGCAGCAGUGGGGAGGAUUUUCACCGAAGCCAAGGAUUUGACAAUCAUUUGUGUAAACUGAGCCUUUGAAAGUGUUCUACUUCCUGGAAAAAACCUGAGGGAUUUUCUGUGGACUCCCCAGGGAUAGCAGACACACCCACACUGAAGCAUUCCACCCUCAAUCAGCUCUCACCCCUACAUGCCCGACAGCAGGGUAGAGGUGGCUUCUCCCCACUCUGGGGAGGUAAGGGGGAGAGAGAAGGUAUGGCUCCAGCCGGGGUGUGAGCCUGGGCUGAAGUCCAGGCUUGCCCACUCUGUCCUCCCAGAGAGGGCCUGCGGAUAGGGUGGACAGGCAGGAGGGGCCUGUGGCUGGAGGUGCCCCGAGCUCCUGCAAAGCUUUAAGUUCUGUAAAAUUCUGGGGCUUCUGGGUAAGUGGGUGGAGCUGGGCACACCCAUGUUCUGUGAAUAUCGUUGCACAUUGAAUUAAAAUGGUGUUCCAGAUAAUUCGGAGCAGCAAAGCUUUGCCAGCAGGCAGGGCUGGGUUUGUAUCCUGCUCUACCACAUGCAGGUGUUCACACACUGUCUACACCAGCAGCAGAGCAGCAGGGCAACAGGAUGGCACCCCACCCUGAACAGGCACAGGCCUGUCAGCUUCCAGCACCCCAGGCCUCAGGCUGGGCUCCCUGUGUACACGAAAGGCAUUUGUGAUACAAAAGCCCCUCAUUGGACUGCAGAGGGCGGCCCCUCCCAUCUUGUUCAGAGCUGACAAAAUCUGAAAACACCCUAAAGCAGGGGCUGGCAAAUAUUUUCCAUAAAGGACCAGAAAGUAAAUAUUUUGACCAUCACAGGCCAUAGAGUCUCUGUCACUACUCAACUUUGUGGUCAAAGCUUGAAAGAAACCAUUACAAUAUAUAAUCAACUGUGUGUUGCUGUAUUCCACUAAAAUUUUAUUUAGGGAUAUUGAAAUUUGAAUUCUGUAUAAUUUUCACAUGUUACCAAAGAUUGUUCUUUCGGAUUUUUGUCAGCUCCUUAAAAUUCUAAGCUCAUAGGCUGACAAAAAAAGAGGGAUUUAGCCUCUGGCUGUGGCUUGCCAACCCCUGCUCUAAACCUAACCACAUCAGUCCUCCGCCUAAAGCCUUCAAUGGCUCCCCACUGCCUAUGAGAUAAAGUCCAAACUCCUUGGCAUGCCCUUCAAGGCCCCUACGUUCUGGUUCUAACCUCUCCUUCACUUGUCUGCUCCUGGGAUGGGGUGCGGCACUCGUUAUUGAUUUCUCUUCCCCUCUAAAUGCUCAGGACUUGGACCGACUCAUAGAAACAAUAGUAACAACAGUGCAGCAAUAGAACAGCAGACUCCUCCAUGCCAGGGACUGUUUCUCAGCACCUUUCCUGUAUUAACUCAUCAGAUCCACACAACAACCCUAAAAGACCCUCAAGCCCCCCACCCCUCACUGGGCUGAGACAAAUGCAGCUGUGGUUGACUCCACCCCCUGCCAGCACCUACCGCGGCACCUGAGCAGCCAGUGUGCUUGCAGAAAAGUGCAGCCAUGCCACCUCAUUUAAAAUUCACAGCCACAAACCUCAGUGGCUCCUUUGAUGUUGCCUGGCACACCUCCCUUGCUCCGGGCCCUGGGUUGGAUGACCACUUCACACCUGCUCCUCUGUCCCUCGGUCCUGGCUCAUGACCUGGCUUCUUUUCCCUGAGAAAUUUGAAGCACCAACAAGGGAAGUUUCUAAAGUUCCUGUGGGGUAACUACCCCUUUCUGUCCCUCAUGUCCACUGCCCUGCCCUUAGCUGAGCUGUCCCUCCAAUGGGCACCAGACCCCUUCUCUCCUACCAAGGGACACUUCAGCAAGUGCCCCUCUCCUGCACCAUUGUCUUUUCCCUCCCUCCUGGAUUAUUUCCACCAUGUGAUUUUAAACAUGUGAUUUUGUUUUCCCUUUUUAUCUUAAAAAAAUAAAAACAACCCUUCUGUGACUCUCCUUGCACCUUCAGCUGCCCGCCUUUACCAGCUCUGCUCCUCUUUACCAGAGCACAAGAGUUAGGCAGAGCUAGGUUCUGCCCGUGAGAAUGAGCGUUGGUGGGGGUGGGGAAGGGAGGGCAAGGAUAGGAGGCUGAGAGGUGGGAAGGGGCACUUGGGUCCUGUGAAUGAGUGAGGACAGGAGUGGUGACAGAGAGAGGGGCCAGAGGGACCUCCUGCACAAACUAGGGGUACAACCUGACUCUCGUGUCUCCAACUCUCUUCCCAAUAUCCCUCCCCACGGAGGUCAGCCGCCCACCAAAAGUGUGAUAGCCCCAUCCUGUCAACUCCAGCGCUCCCCGCUCAGCCGCUGCCCGCAGCUCAGCACUCCCCUCCUUAGGGGGAAGGGCUCCUUCCCGGUCCACAGUGCUGGGUGCCCCUCCUCUGCUGCCCUCAGAAGGGUGCAGUCCCUGGCUCACCCCAGGUCCUCUCCCCUCACACUGGCUCCCUGGGCCUUAACAUAUUAAUGACUGAGGACUCCCGCAUGUGUAAAUCCCGCCAGGAUCUAUCCCUACAAGAAAGUUCCACCGGGAUGUCUAAAAGUCACCUCUAACUUGACUUGCCCCCAGCUGGGCUCCUGAUCUUGCCCCAUCCAUCUCCAUUCCAUCAGACUUGAGAGUAACUCCAUCCUCCUACUUGAGGUGCCCAUGCCAGAUUCCUUGCAGCCAUCCUGACUCCUGUCUUUCCCUCCCACUCCACAUUGAGCUCAUUAGCAAAUCCUGCCAAGAUUAUCUUCAAAAUAAGUCCAGAGUCCAUCUGCUUAGCAUUUCCACUGCCAACACGGUGGCACAAGCCUCCACCCUCCUUGCGGGCACUCUUGCCACAGCCCGCUCGCUCGCCCUGCCCCUACUUCUGACCACCGCAGACUAGUCUCCACACAGAGGCUCCGGUGCUGCUCUUGAUGCCUGAAGCAAAUCACCUGCCUGCCUGUGUUCAAAACUCUGCCUUGUUUUCACUCAAGGAGAAAGCCAAUGUCCUUACCCGGCCUUCAAGGCCCUACCCAGCUGCCACUUCCCUCUAUUAUCUCCUCCCUGCCUCCAGCAUCCCUCCCCUACCUGGCUUGGACCAAGUCCUGCCCUCAGGGCCUUUGCAUUUGCCUUUCCCUAGGCCAGGAGGUUUCUUCCCAGGGAUGUUUGUAAGGCUCCUGCAUCAUCACUUCCAGCCAUCUGUCCCAAAUGUCACUGCUUACCAAGGCUGACCCUGACCACCUCAAUUAAAAGCACUCCCCCAGCUCCCAGUAUUCCAGUAUUCUGGAUUCCAAAGAGAAAGUAAAGACUAUUUCUCACACCAUUGCCCAGCACGUGUCAUUUCUAACUCAUUAUAUUCUUUACUUCUUUGCUUGUUUAUGGCUUGUCUCUCUCCACCCCGCUGGAAUAUAGGCACCACAAGGGCAAGUGCUUUGAUCUCUUUAGUUCACUGUGGUACCCUUGGCAGCUGGAACAGCAUGAGGCACACAUUAAGCACUUGAUACAGAGGGUGGGGAGGAGCAGCCACGUUGGGGGUGGAAAGCGACAGGGAGCAGGAAAAGAGCAAAUGCAAAGAUCUGGAGUUAAAAAAGUUAAAGAAAGUCUGUGGAGUUUUUAGUCUCAAAGGGUGUGAGCGGGUUGGGAAGGAAACCUUAAUAAACCUCGGGCCUGAAAAUGGGAGGGGAUAAUUUAGGCUUCAGCAGGUUAGAGCAUGGUUUUUAUUUUCAGAAGAUCUCUGGGGUUGUUCCAGGCAGCAAGGCCAUGCUGGCCUAUGGAAAGGUGGGGAUUACUGAGAAAUGGCCACUGCUGUCCGGUGCCCAUCCUUCCAUCUCAGUGCUGGCCUUCCUGGUGGCUGUGCUCCCCCGGUUAACAGCCCCGCUGCCUGGGAUGGCUGUCAGCUUCUUGAGUGUCACUGGUCCCUGGCAACUGGCAAGGAUAGC